Molecule: ribosomal RNA, 255 nt
Filed under: uncultured bacterium
Lineage: Bacteria
Description: partial 16S ribosomal RNA
Rfam family: Bacterial small subunit ribosomal RNA
Source: RNAcentral
CGGGUGAGUAACACGUAUGCGACCUGCCCGUUGCAGGGGGAUAAUCGGGAGAAAUCCCGUCUAAUACCGCGUAAUGCCGCGGGGCUGCAUGGCCCUGCGGCCAAAGGGAGCGAUUCCGGCAACGGAUGGGCAUGCGUGACAUUAGCUAGUUGGCGGGGCAACGGCCCACCAAGGCGACGAUGUCUAGGGGUUCUGAGAGGAAGGUCCCCCACACUGGUACUGAGACACGGACCAGACUCCUACGGAAGGCAGCAG